Long non-coding RNA from Diceros bicornis minor, 726 nucleotides. RefSeq lists it as uncharacterized. The transcript has 3 exons. The record is from RefSeq and is a predicted model, not a curated record. NCBI's taxonomy places the organism in Eukaryota, Metazoa, Chordata, Mammalia, Perissodactyla, Rhinocerotidae.
GCAAGCUGGAACCAGAUCUGACCCUUUGGAACAAGGAGAUGAGAAAGGAAAUGGGGGAGGCGACCUGGAGGUUGGACGGGAGUUGGGGUCCAGGACUGGAACCUCAGGAGGGGGGAACACAGAGGGAAGAGUGGCUGAGACCAGCGCAGCUGUCUCGGGGCUUAGCCUUGGCUGUGCCCAGGAGCAGCUGCUGGGCCUGGAUGGGGUCCACCAGACCGGCAUGUGGUGAGAGGAGCUUCCAGUCCACCCCAGACCCUGGGCUAAAUUGACCAAGGAAGGCCCUUCCACAUUCUCCAGGUUUUCUUUGAAAAGCAUGUUCAAUAACCCCAUCAAAGCCGUCAGCUGACCAGCCCCAGAGGCGGCUGUCUCAAGGAAACAGUAAACUGGAUGAAGGAUGCCCUUCUCGUAUUUGGUUGACAUGCUUUAUGUGGGAUCACUCUUAUGACAACAGAAGGUAUAUAAAAAGGCUGUUACAGUUUCUUGGAAAUAAUAAAAUAACUUGGAGGGACUCGUAUGCCAAGGAAUCUGAAGAUGAGUGCCUGGCUAUAAAAGAGGACUUGCUUCAUAUUUCAUAAGGCUGCGGUUCAGCUGCCUGGCAGAAGUUGGGCUAAAAGACAUGGAAAUGCAGAGCCUGUAUCGAGCUACAAAUGAGAUGGGGGCCUGGGAGGAAGAUCAGAUUUUUUCAUAGACGUUAUUUAUAGCAGAAUAAAGAAGCUACACUUUGCA